Molecule: ribosomal RNA, 492 nt
Filed under: uncultured bacterium
Lineage: Bacteria
Description: partial 16S ribosomal RNA
Rfam family: Bacterial small subunit ribosomal RNA
Source: RNAcentral
AGUGAACGCUGGCGGUAGGCCUAACACAUGCAAGUCGAACGGCAGCACAGUAAGAGCUUGCUCUUACGGGUGGCGAGUGGCGGACGGGUGAGGAAUACAUCGGAAUCUACUUUUUCGUGGGGGAUAACGUAGGGAAACUUACGCUAAUACCGCAUACGACCUACGGGUGAAAGCAGGGGAUCUUCGGACCUUGCGCGAUUGAAUGAGCCGAUGUCGGAUUAGCUAGUUGGCGGGGUAAAGGCCCACCAAGGCGACGCUCCGUAGCUGGUCUGAGAGGAUGGUCAGCCACACUGGAACUGAGACACGGUCCAGACUCCUACGGGAGGCAGCAGUGGGGAAUAUUGGACAAAGGGCGCAAGCCUGAUCCAGCCAUACCGCGUGGGUGAAGAAGGCCUUCGGGUUGUAAAGCCCUUUUGUUGGGAAAGAAAAGCAGCAGGUUAAUACCCCGCUGUUCUGACGGUACCCAAAGAAUAAGCACCGGCUAACUUCGUG